CCGGAAGUUCUCCCUGGAGAUCGUUGUCACGGCCUCCCGUCAUUUUAGCCUUUUCCGCCGUUCGCUGGAUCUCCAGUGUGGACUACCUGGAAGAAGAGAUUUGCGUUUAACGAAAAAACUUCAAAGGCAGACAACAUUUCUUUGCAAGAGAGGAAAGCAGAGGUCUACAGGGACUAAAGUCGCCUAAGAGGAUGUUGCUGUUGCAGUGGCUCGGGGGAGGAGGAGACAUAUCGGCGACGGAAUGAGAAACCCGCUCCCCAUAAAUAACGGACAUUUCUGAACCCCCCCGCUAUCUGUGAGGCCAAAC
Molecule: long non-coding RNA, 307 nt
Organism: Anguilla anguilla (European eel)
Lineage: Eukaryota; Metazoa; Chordata; Actinopteri; Anguilliformes; Anguillidae
Exons: 3
Source: RefSeq, a predicted model, not a curated record